RNAcentral lists this ribosomal RNA (279 nucleotides) under uncultured bacterium. Its description in RNAcentral is "partial 16S ribosomal RNA". It matches the Rfam family "Bacterial small subunit ribosomal RNA", at positions 524 to 794 of the family's 1533-position model. The record is from RNAcentral.
UACGUAGGGGGCGAAGCGUUAUCCGGAAUUAACUGGGCGGUAAAGGGUAGGCGUAGGCGGGUUUAUUCAAGUCAGGGGUGGAAAGGCUACGGCUCAACCGUAGUGAGCCUCUGAAACUAGGUGAACUUGAGUGUAGGAGAGGAAAGUGGAAUUCCCAGUGUAGCGGUGAAAUGCGUAGAUAUUGGGAGGAACACCAGUGGCGAAGGCGACUUUCUGGACUACAACUGACGCUGAGGCACGAAAGCGUGGGGAGCAAACAGGAUUAGAUACCCGGGUAGU